Molecule: long non-coding RNA, 815 nt
Filed under: Marmota monax (woodchuck)
Lineage: Eukaryota; Metazoa; Chordata; Mammalia; Rodentia; Sciuridae
Source: RNAcentral
CCAAAAAAAAAAAAAAAAAGAGUAACUUCCAAUAAAUAUUGUUGUGAAUUAGUAUUAACAACUUUUUAAAACAGAGUUGUUCAAUAGUAGAAGUUUCUCUCAAGAGACAGUAAGCAGUUUGUCAUCAAAGUACUCAAUCAGACCAAAUAAUGUGUCAGCAAUGUUAAGUGAUUCCUGAUGUAUAUGGUGGGGAGUAUUGAACAAGAUGGACUUCCUAAAAAUUUGUGAUCCUAAGAACAUGUAAUGUUGACACAGAUUUUUAUUACUCCUGGCAGAAAUGAACAAUACAGUAAGGAGAUAUGUUGAGGGGGAGCAGGAUCUGAACCCCAUGCAUGGCAAGAUGAGGUACCAGAUGCCAUCGAGCUAUUGAACUUCCAGGUGGUACUGUUACAUUUCUUCUGGCAUGUGAAGAAUUCAUUAUUCUAAAAGCAAAGUAGUAGUAAGUUGUACCAAGUGGUUUGUUUUAUAUAAAAUGUGAACCAUUUUUUAAAUUCCAAAUGUUGACAAUGUAUUACUCUUUGCCCCUUAAUUCUUCACCCUUUGCCUUGCCUGCACCCUGGGAGGCUGACAUCUACAGUACUUCUUUGCCCUCUCACUUCCUAUUGGGUUUGACUGAUGGGUGAUUCUUACCAGAGAUUAGGGGGCAGGAAAGAAGACAGGCCAGCCUUCUUAUCCCACUGUGCCCGCUUGUCAGAUCAGGGUUUUUGCUGUGAUUAUGUUCUUUUGUGCCAUGCGACUUUCUAGUGUCCUCUCUCUCAUGGUUAUGACUCUCAGAGGGUCCAGCAACCUCCCCCCCCCCAACAUAUACACACUUG